GCUUUGUCAUCCACAAAAACAAUCCCAAAACUACCUCAAAACCCCCCAUCACUACUGAAUGACCCCAUAACCAUAUGGGGAACCUCAUGCUAGAACUAGUAACAAGAAUCAGACCUUCUCUAAAAUGCACGCGUACGCCAAAAUGAACUACUCACCGGCAAUUACCGCCAAUGAACCCAUAGUAACAACCCAACAAGAAAACCUUACUUAAAAAAGCGUUAACCUAACACAAGAGCAUUCCCAGAAAGAUUAAAAGAGCGGGAAGGAACUCGGCAAAUAUUAGCCUCGCCUGUUUACCAAAAACAUCGCCUCCUGACCUAUUAUAGGAGGUCCAGCCUGCCCAGUGACAUAGUUAAACGGCCGCGGUACCCUAACCGUGCGAAGGUAGCGCAAUCACUUGUUCUUUAAAUGAGGACUAGUAUGAAUGGCAUCACGAAGGCUACACUGUCUCCCCCCUCCAAUCAGUGAAACUGAUCUCCCCGUGAAGAAGCGGGGAUAAAACCAUAAGACGAGAAGACCCCAUGGAGCUUAAAACUCAGUCUCACCUGCACACUAACAUAUCACACCAACCCUGCAGAUCUGACUACUAGUUUUCGGUUGGGGUGACCGCGGAGCAAAACAAAACCUCCACGACGAAAGGACAUCUCCCUAAUCCAAGAGCAACAACUCUAAGAAUCAAAAAAUUGACGUUGCUUGAUCCAAAUUUAUUUGAUCAACGAACCAAGUUACCCUGGGGAUAACAGCGCAAUCCAUUUCAAGAGCUCCUAUCGACAAAUGGGUUUACGACCUCGAUGUUGGAUCAGGGUAUCCCAGUGGUGCAGCCGCUACUAAAGGUUCGUUUGUUCAACGAUUAAAACCCUAC
This 862-nucleotide ribosomal RNA is filed under the name Phrynomantis microps. RNAcentral describes it as "partial 16S ribosomal RNA". It matches the Rfam family "Bacterial large subunit ribosomal RNA", at positions 1501 to 2599 of the family's 2925-position model. Lineage: Eukaryota; Metazoa; Chordata; Amphibia; Anura; Microhylidae. The record is from RNAcentral.